CCUACGGGAGGCAGCAGUGGGGAAUAUUGGGCAAUGGGCGCGAGCCUGACCCAGCCAAGCCGCGUGAGUGAAGAAGGCCCUCGGGUUGUUAAACUCUUUUUUUAGAGAAGAAAAGUGACGCACGUAUCCCUUUGUGCAUUGACGUUAUCAAUAAGGAUAGCCACGCCUAAUUCCGUCCCAGCCGCUGCGGUAAUACGUAGGUGGCAUGCGUUGAUUGGAUUUAUUGGGCGUAAAGCGAGCGCAGGUGGUUUGUUAAGUCAGAUGUGAAAGCCCGCGGCUCAACCGUGGAAUGUCAUUUGAUACUGGCAGGCUUGAGUACAGUUGAGGUAGGUGGAAUUCGAGGUGUAGCGGUGAAAUGCUUAGAUAUAUGGAAGAACACCGAUGGCGAAGGCAGCUUACUAGACUGACACUGACGCUGAGGCUCGAAAGUGUGGGGAGCAAACAGGAUUAGAUACCCUUGUAGUC
This 465-nucleotide ribosomal RNA is filed under the name uncultured bacterium. Its description in RNAcentral is "partial 16S ribosomal RNA". It matches the Rfam family "Bacterial small subunit ribosomal RNA", at positions 338 to 795 of the family's 1533-position model. The record is from RNAcentral.